GGAGAGGUGCUGGAGAGGCCGAACAGGCGCGCCUGGAAAGCGCGUAGCCCCGUCAGGGGCUCGUGGGUUCGAAUCCCACCCUCUCCGCCA
RNAcentral lists this transfer RNA (90 nucleotides) under Dehalococcoidia bacterium. RNAcentral describes it as "tRNA-Ser". It matches the Rfam family "tRNA". Rfam says of the family: Transfer RNA (tRNA) molecules are approximately 80 nucleotides in length. Their secondary structure includes four short double-helical elements and three loops (D, anti-codon, and T loops). Lineage: Bacteria; Bacillati; Chloroflexota; Dehalococcoidia. The record is from RNAcentral.